RNAcentral lists this transfer RNA (63 nucleotides) under Omalonyx unguis. RNAcentral describes it as "tRNA-Asp". The record is from RNAcentral. Lineage: Eukaryota; Metazoa; Mollusca; Gastropoda; Stylommatophora; Succineidae.
UUUUAUUUAAUUUAAAAAAAAUAUUUACUUGUCAAGUAAAAAAUCUUAAUUUAAGAAUAGUUA